UGGCUCAGUAGGUAGAGCACGUGACUCUCAAUCUCUCUCGGGGUUGUGGGUUCGAACCCCAC
RNAcentral lists this transfer RNA (62 nucleotides) under Ailuropoda melanoleuca (giant panda). It matches the Rfam family "tRNA", at positions 8 to 63 of the family's 71-position model. From Rfam's summary of the family: Transfer RNA (tRNA) molecules are approximately 80 nucleotides in length. Their secondary structure includes four short double-helical elements and three loops (D, anti-codon, and T loops). The record is from Rfam by way of RNAcentral. Lineage: Eukaryota; Metazoa; Chordata; Mammalia; Carnivora; Ursidae.